AUGAACGCUGGCGGCGUGCCUAAUACAUGCAAGUCGAGCGAACAGACGAGGAGCUUGCUCCUCUGACGUUAGCGGCGGACGGGUGAGUAACACGUGGAUAACCUACCUAUAAGACUGGGAUAACUUCGGGAAACCGGAGCUAAUACCGGAUAAUAUAUUGAACCGCAUGGUUCAAUAGUGAAAGACGGUUUUGCUGUCACUUAUAGAUGGAUCCGCGCCGCAUUAGCUAGUUGGUAAGGUAACGGCUUACCAAGGCAACGAUGCGUAGCCGACCUGAGAGGGUGAUCGGCCACACUGGAACUGAGACACGGUCCAGACUCCUACGGGAGGCAGCAGUAGGGAAUCUUCCGCAAUGGGCGAAAGCCUGACGGAGCAACGCCGCGUGAGUGAUGAAGGUCUUCGGAUCGUAAAACUCUGUUAUUAGGGAAGAACAAAUGUUUAAGUAACUAUGCACGUCUUGACGGUACCUAAUCAGAAAGCCACGGCUAACUACGUG
RNAcentral lists this ribosomal RNA (496 nucleotides) under uncultured bacterium. RNAcentral describes it as "partial 16S ribosomal RNA". It matches the Rfam family "Bacterial small subunit ribosomal RNA", at positions 29 to 507 of the family's 1533-position model. The record is from RNAcentral.